GCAGCUGCAAGAAAGUCUGAGAACACAAAAUUCAAAAGCCCGAAACACUGCAGUAGAGUAAGAAAUGGCACUUAUAAACUACCUAGAGUGCUGCAAACUUCUGGCAAUUAAUUUCAAUUAAGUUAUUUACAAGCGCAGAAGAAUUGAACUUUGUGAUUUGAAUAAUAAAAGUUUUCAGAAAAACAUUUUUCAUGUCAGUUCCAAACAUAGUCUCCAUCUGUAAUGAGAAUAUGAAUAAGAAGAAAAUCAUUUCUAAUUUUGGAUGAAUCUAUUUCUUAAAGAAUUCUUUAUUUUAAUUUAAGGUAAGUGCAAAUUCUUUGUUUUAAAGUUAACUGAAAUGCUAAUCUUAUGAAAGUAAACCGGCCUUCUCUUUAUAAAAAUUAAACUGUGGUUCCCAAUGUAAUGAAUUUUAUUUAUUUUUAAGGUCCAGAAAUGGACCAUAUUUUCAUCCCCUGGGCAAUUCCACAAACUUGUUAAAACUGUUAACAGCUGUACAAUAACUUAGGCUCUCAGUGAUUUCAUGUAGUUCAAAAGAACUCUAAAUUUAUCCAGGUGUGAAGGUUAUGGUAACUGCUGGGUAAAAUCAAAGAAUAUUCGGUUAGGGAUGCACUUUAAGGAUUUGAUGAAUAUAUUGUGUUCAUAAAGUCCAAGAACAAGAAAAUGUACUUCUGCUACUUAUUAAACAAACAGAUAAGUGAAUGCUUUAAAAAUUUGCCUCACAAAGCAAACAUUUCAACACCUACACUGAGAAUUAUCCAUGCCAUUAAAAUGGACGUGAUUGCUGGCAGGGUGUGAGGUGAAUAAAAGACCAGAGGCACACACACACACUGCAGGUCCGGGUGGUAAAUCUGGAAUGGAGACUGCUUUGUAGCUUCAACUCUCAGGUCAGAGAUGGAGACACACCACCCUUUGCACAAUGCUAAGCACACAGCAGUUGCAGGCUCAGCUCUGACUCUGAGUUUGCUUUUCUUUCUUCUUGGAUCCAGGGGUCCCUCUACACCUCCGGGGAGGCGCUCAUAGCUGCAGGGUGAUGCUGGAAGUAGGCAAUUUCUAGGCCUCUCCAGAGAGGCAUGGACCUGAGAUACCCUCAGAAUCAUUGUGGAGCCCACAUUUUCCCCUUUCUAGUUUGUAAUGAGGCUUGCACACAAGGGAGCGUGAAAAAUGGCGUGUGAAUGUGGUCCCCAUGUUGUGUCAGGAAAAUGUCAGUCUCACUGUUGCAUGCUUUUAUGCAAAAUGAUUCUGAAUACUUAAUCUCCACCCCAAGGAAAACUAACAGGGUACCUCUAUUAAUGAACUUCAAUUUGUUUUCAGUCCUUGGGACAUUUUUACACCCCCAUUAAAUAAAAGACAUAAUCACAAAGGAAAUUAAACUACAAAAGAAAAUAUUCCAAAUCAUGUUGUGUCUAACCUAAAUAUGUAUAAACCAAAGAAAAUACAUGACUGUGGUUUAAAUCUGUUCUUUAACCCAUCUGUUGCAUUCACAGCAUACAGUAACAUGGUAACAAUGUGUUGGGGAGAGGUUUUUUUUUUUUUUUUUUUUCAUACCAGGGAUCAAACUCACAACCUCAGGCUUACCAGGCAUGCGCUUGAGCCACUGAGCUAAAUCUCAGGCCCUGUGUUAGGGAGAUCUUUAAGCUGUCUCUGCUCAAAGCAACAUAUCUGGAAGGAGAAUAAAAUAGUCACGCAAUCAUCCCAAUAUAUUAUUCAUUUGAAGUAAAAGUUCCAAUUUUUAUACAACCGUCAGUAGUUUGGAAACAUCAGAGUUGGUAAUUUGGGGAUACUAAGAAUAUCUCUUUUAUAGGUAAAUAUAAUUUGCACUGAAUAAAGAUGAAUACAUGACUAAUGCAAGUCAUUUCUGUCAAGCAAUGGCAAUUGCUUGGAGGAGUACAACUUUUUUCCUAUUUUAAAAAUUUUAUUAAGUUUGGUUUUUAAAUAUUUGUUCUAUUAAUAUAUAUUUCCAAUGCAUGAAGUUUACAUUUAUCUUAGGGAGUAGGUACAUAUAUAUAACAUAGCUUGAUUCUUUUUUAUUCUGUCCUUCUCUGCUCACCUGUCUUCCUCUGCCUCUAUAUAAUUGUUAUUUUAUCAAGUCAGUAUUACCUGGAGACAUUAUGUAGUGGACAUAAUAUUUAUAUAGUACUUUGUUCUAAGUGUUAGCAUACUGAGUUACAGAAAGUCAGUCCUGUUUUGUACAAUUCAAUCAGUUAAUUAAGGAUCCUUCUCAUGCCUAGAAAUUCUGCUGUUCCUUUGGCAAGAAUCUUCCAGAAAUUUAUAAAUGCCCCUUUUUUUUUUUUUUUUUUUUUUUUUUUGGUCUUUUUGAGACAGGGUUUCACUAUAGAGUGCAGGGUGGGCUUAAAUUCACUUUGUAGACUAGGAUGUGUAAUUGUCUUUCAGACGUUUGUUUUUGCUGAAGUAGUGCUUUGAUGAUACCUUAAAGUUUUCUAAUGCUUGCAAAGAUUCCUUUUACAUGAAUUCUCUCAUUUAAUUGCAUUUCAGUUGUUCUCUGUAGUUUCAGAUGAGUUGAUUGUUUUGGGGUCAUUUAGCACUAAAAAUAACUAGGAAAACUACAACUAAAAUAGAAAAAAGAAAAAUUAAGUUCCUAGUUUGAGUACUUAUAUUUAUUAUUAUUAAAUUUAGCCCUGAUUCGAAGGUAUUUUUAAAAACAACAUCAAAGCAAACAGGAAUCUAACAAUUUAUUAUGAGGUACACAUGUAAGUUCAGAGUUAUUCCACAUAGAAAGAGAUCAUGAUGCUGUAUUGUAAUUGUUAUGUGCCUUAUUGGGUUAUAAUUUAGUAUAUACACAAAACCCUCAUUCAAUAGCUUUAAUGUCCUGAGAGACAACCUUUAGAGCUGCUCAAAAUUAGACUUCGGAGUUUCCUUCCCCUUAAUUAAGUAUGAAGUGCUUUCUACAGUGACAGGGCUCCCAUUAGAAGACAAGUUCAAAGAAAAUCUAACAUAGUUACCAUACACAUCUCAGGGCUUGGAGAUUAUGACAUUAGGCUAGCCUUCUGUACCUUAACAGCAGCAUGUUUAAUUCAUACAAAUCAUGCAACCCAGAAGGAAAGUUUCUUUUCUUUGUUACAUUUUUUCCCAAGUAGUCUAAUCCACAUAUAUGAAUCACACAUCACUCAGUAUUUGGAGAGACUAUUUCCCUUUGUUUAACAUGAAAUGUACUUCCCACAAAAGCCAUCCACAAAAGCUGGGUCUAAGUGGCUCACAUUUAUACAAAUACUCCAAAACAAAAAAGUGCUAGCAUGCUGUAAGCAUUUCCUAUAUUUAAAAUAUGUUCUUAAAUAGUUGUGAAGAUACUAGAAAAAACUAGCAAUGCACUUUGUGAUAAUCUUCAUAAGGCUUCCAAAGUUUCAGUGUCUUGAACCUUCUCAAAGCAGAAUGCACAAUGAUGUCUUCAAAAUGUCACUUAAAAUUUGUUCCCCUUUCUCUCUAUUCAAAAUUAGUGUAGACCUUCCAUUUUAAGUCAGCAUUUUCAAAAAAGAUCAACUGAAAUUUGAACAAGCAGAAGGAAAAAUGUUUCCACUUCUACCAGACUUAAAAGAAGUUGGGCAUCUUUUCAUAUUUUUCUUAUUAGCAUUGUAAUAGAGAACAUCUGUAAUAAUUUAGUAAAUUAAAUACAUUAAAAUGACAAAUAAAAGAAGCUAUAAUGAAUAAAAUACAGAAGACCCCCUGUGGCUGCCCGCCCCUUCCUUGGCGAGCAGUAGAGCAAACAGCUAGCGAGGGCCAUGAGCACACCAGCAGCAGUCAACCCAAGACCAAGACGGAAACUGCUCUUUGCCAGUGUGAAAACCAGCUUUCAUUUACUUCACCACCUCUGUAACAGAAUGUAACUAAUCUUAUAAUUUUUUAUUUCUGUAUGGCACUUGUGUAACAUUUUUCUUCUUCACUGCCAUUUUUCUUUUUGUGUUUCUCUCCAUCAUCAGAACUACAACUCCUACCCAAACUGUUAUCUCCUCCCUACACGAGUAAAACAGCUUUGACUUCAUGUCUUUAGUCAAGACUUAUUAUUAUACAGAUAUCAUUAGCUUUUCUCCUAAAGCUCAAGCUCAAGAACUUAGAGCCAAUGAACUGUGGAUGGCAAAUACCUAGUAUCUCUUUGGCUUAAUAAGUAUUGUCUCAAUUUAGUUUGAACAUAAUUCAAAUAUUUUUCAAAUACUCUUGAAAUGUUUUUCUUUAUGAGGCUAUUGGUUUAUCUUCCACUUCUAUUUCCUUGAUCUAUCUCUUUUUCCUUCUUUAGCUUCUUUUCUGUCUUAAGUUAUUUCACACCCUGGUUUUCCUCCAAACUUCGGUCCUUGUGCCUGCCAUUCCCCUGAUAAACUCCCCAAGGGCUGCUUUUCCGUAUCUACAAUACCAAGUGCCAUGUAUUCACAUCUCUUCACCUUUUGGCACAGACUCUGCUCUUGAAUUUCAGACUUGUACUUCUAGUUUCCUAAUAGGUGAACAUCCUGAGAGAUACAUCACAUACACCUUGAACUAACCAUGCCUCAAAACAAAUGUCCUUUCAUUUUCUUUUCAGUUCUACUUCUCUUCAUUUAAUUGUGCCUUAAUAUCCUAGUCAGAAUGUUCAGAAUCAUUUCCUCUUCGUUACUCACUUAUUCAAAUAGUCAUUACACUUAGAUGAGUCUAUGGAUGCACAGGAAACCCACCCCAUGACUACAACUUCCCAGUCUCGCCAUUUCUCAUUUGUGUGAUUGCAGUAGCUCCCUACCAGUUUUCCCUGCCUGAAGGCUAUCUCACCUUUCUUUGUUCUUAGAUCUGUAGUCUACGCUUUUGCUUCUGGUAACUAACACAUAAAACUAGUCAUACAACAUCUCUGCUAAACACCUUUCAGUGACUUUCAUCAUCCGUGAGGAAAGGCAGCAACUCUUUUUACUGAUGAUCAUAAAUGACACUUCAAGAUUUAGCUCCUUCCUACUAAUUAGAAUUAAUCUCCGCUGCCAUAGCACACUUAUUUUCACAAUCUAAGGGUCUCAAAUAUACCAUGCUGUUUCAGAUCUUCACGUUUUUGCUUGGAAUGUUUCCCUCUUGUGUGCUUUGCAAAUUCCAGCUCAGUCUUUGAAGGUAUCAUAAACAUCACACCCUAUAAAGAGCCUCUUAUGAAUAUUCUCAAUCGUGCACAUGAAGGAUGCCUCUCCAUCAGCACUGUUCUUGCUGUGUGUGAUGAUUUUUAACCUGAGGGAAUCUCAAUUAAUUCUUGAGGUCCUAAACAUGGGAAGCCUGUUUUAUUCAUCUUUUCUUCAGUGUUUUAUUCUUAUACCAUCAUAUACUGUCAAUGUCUGUCAGUGUUUAAAUGAAUUAAAAGUUGGUGGUGUUUGGUACCCUUCCCGUGCCGUUUGGACUGUAUGUAAUACCAUGCAACCAUUUUCUUAAACCCCUUAAAAGCUAACUUUCAAAGAAGAAAGAGCUGCAUAAGAAAGCAACAUUUUGAAAACCUAACACCUUUAUAACAACAAAACCAACUAAAGAAAAGUAUCUGAUCUAAUUUAAAGGAGAAACUUUGGCCUGCUGUUACUGAUGAAAUAAGAGCAAUUAAGUCUGGCUCUCUCAAGUUGUUAAUUCUUCCACUAGAAAUAUUUAGAAAAGCGUAACCAAUCAUACAGUCUGUAGGGUCAGUUCUGCCUAGUGAACAGAAUGUAGAUGGUUAUGUUUGCGUCACCAUCUGUCUUGCAAAAUCCUCUAGCAGGCCUGCGUCUACACGCACAUAGCCUAUUUUAUAAGAUCCAGUACGUGACAAUAAACACCUCGACAGUAAGUCUAGACUCCGAGGUCAUAUUCAGAAACUCAUGACUUCAACAGGGGUGGAGAUUGUGGGGGAACAGAUCCUAGAUCAGGUGAACUUUUAAAUAGAAAAUAUAUUUGUGUAUUUGUGCAAGAAAGGAACAAGGAAAGAAGCAUAUUAGCAAAACAAUGACUUAUUGCAAUUCUGGCAAGUAUUGGGACAAAGAAUUAUGAACUGAAACAAUCCAAUAGUGGAUCAUUGUAACGAUGGAUACAGUUUUCAGGAAGAAGAUUUCUACUAAUUCUUGGUUGAGAAAAGGAUAAAAAGUAACAAUAAAACUGUAGAUUAAGAUCUGUUUGCAAAAGAAAUUUCCAUCUAAAAUUUCCAUUCUUUUUUAUUUUUUGACAACUGAUAGUGUUAUGUCAAAAAAUAGAAAUAAAAAGCACAGAUCUGGUCAGACUCAAAUUAUUUCUCUCUUCAACAUAUUUUAAACUGUUCUUUCUUUCCUGGCCCCAUCCCUGUGUUUUCUCCCUUUUUACCUAUAAUGAUUGCUCCUAUCUUCCCUAAUAAUUUUUCUUUAUAUAGGGAGAAGGAUGAUAUUACCAACUCCAGAAACAAGAAAUAAUAGGCAAAAUACAACCCAAUUCAGUCAAACCACAAGUCUAACUUGAACACUAAAUGCAUAGAAAAUAAAAAAAAAAAAAAAGUAACAUUGCCUUUUGUGUUAUUUUUGAAUCUUAGGAAACCUAUAAAAAGCUAUUCCACUAAUAUUUCCACUUAAAUCCUUAAAUUACAAUUUUGAGUGCUAAUAGCAAUGGAUAAGCUAUCAUUAUAUUAUUUUUCAUCAAUUUGGAAUUUGUAAUGGAAAAAAACAAAACAAAAAGACUGACCAUUUUGGUCAAACCCAGAUUCAUUCAGCUCAGGUCUUUGUCUCUGGCAGGAGUAGUGCAAGAUGUUUUAUGGGGAAAUUUGUGGUUAAAUUUUCUAAUGUCAAACUAAAAUGCUCCCAAAUUCUCUCUUUCCUUAAUAAUCCAGUAUUAAUUUUAUUAUGCAGGAAUUAUUACUUCUACUCAUUGAUGAUUGUUUCUUGUCCUUUUGACAAAGAUCAUGUGUAGUAUCUGUUCUUCUACCCAUUGAUAUACAAUCUCAUUUUUUUCUGAUACUGAGUUUCAAGUUUUCAAUCCACCCGAUAAAGAUAUAUAUUUUCUUCUAAAUUUCCGUUUAAUGAACUUAAUAGAAAUGCUUCCAUUUUAAUAAGAUUAUCAAUAUAGUUCAUGGUUUUAAAAUAUGGGUUUUUGGACCCCUAGCCAUUAUUUUCCAUUUGUUGAUGCUUAAGUUUCUUCCUGUUUUUUUUUAGUUAUUCAUGCCAUGAACUUGACUAUCUAGCUUCUUGUGUUAAAGCAUAUAAUUAUGGUCUAGUACAAAAGAUAGCCAUUGUUAUGAACUUUUUUAGCUUGUUUUGAUUGUGGCUACAUACUGGGCUGCUGUCACCUGAUUUCUCUAACCACAGUUUUCAAGGACUUUAAAUUUCUUGCUUAACUGAUUUUACAAUGAAAACAAUGUUUUCAUUAAUAAAAAAAAUCUAGUCAAUAAAAAUCCAAAAACCUAUAAAAAUAAAAUUUAUCUGAAAAUAAUUCAAGGUUUUUAAUAUUCCUCUCACUCCAGUUUUCCUAAAAGCAAUAUAUAGCUAUGAUUCUCAAUCAAAACAUAGCCUGGGUAAAAAGAAGGGGAUAGGAGAGUUGACUUGGAAGCAUUUGCAGGUUAUCCUUAAACUGUUGUUUUUCCUCUUUUACUCCAAUAAGACUUCUACAAAGGCAGAUAGAAUUCUUGACAGGAAGAGAGAAGAGUGAAUGAUAAUCCCCUUUGCCCAUCUCUCAAAAGUCACUGCUCCCUAUUCUGUUUUGCUGGAUAGUAUCAGGUUCGAAAGUUUAGGCAUCAGCUGUGAAGAUAAUGAGAUUCAUUAUGACGCCCAUUCUCGUUGACUUUUAUCUACUUUUGAAGAUCUACAAUGUCUCCAAUGUUUUGGUUUUGUCGGUUUUAUUCUUUACUGUUUUGUUCAAUUGUAUUAUAACUAACGAUAUAGGCAAUUCUAUUAGAGAUAGCGGGAGGCAUUAUGGUAACCAUUGUUGAUCACCUUGUAUUAUGUUUUUACAUUAUCUAUUAUGUCCACCUUUUUGACUUGACCGAUUCUGUUCUGUUAUGUCACAUUUGGUUUUACUCUCUUCCAAAAAAGUAAUAAGAACCGUGGGAGCAAUGAAACCCAAAAUGUGUAAUAGUCAUUGUACAAAAGAGAGGAAAAGAAAGUGCUCUAAACUAUAUAACUGCAUGUAUAUUUAAGUGUAUAAGAUAGAAAAUGAUAUCACAGAGUUUUAUUGGAUCAUUGAACAGAACUGUUUGCAGUAUCAUUGAUGGAAUGUCCACUUUACAAGCUUUAAUUUUGUGACUUGAACAAUUAUUUCUAAGAUGACAAUAUGUAAUCCAUUAACUAGUGAUUUCCUACUGUUCAUUUUUUUUUCUGUAAAUCUGUAUAACUUGUACCCUUUCUCUGCUUUUUUUUCUUUUCUCCUUAAAUAAAAUUAAAAAAAAAAAAGAAAACAACCAAAAAAAAAAAAAGUCACUGCUCCAAUGCAGUUUUGCAAACUAUCUUUAUUUUAUGCAUCUCAUACGAUAUAAACAUUUUUCUAUACCACUGGCCAUCUAUCCAUCACUCAGAGAAAGAUGUCCAAACUGUUUUAAGUGAAAAACAAAUUACAAAGCAUAGUAUAAAAUAUGUUCUCAUUUAUAUUAAUGCAUCUGUAUUGAUGCCAUUAUGAGUAUUUAUAUAUGUGUGUAAUUUUUUUCGAAAGAUAAUUGCCUAUCUGUUAAUAGGACAUUUCUAGGGUUUAGGAGUAUUGCUGGGAGCAUUUUUAUUUUUCUGCUGCUUUGGUAAUACUGAGAAUUUUGUGUAAUAAGAGAUUAUAUUUUGUAAAAAUGAAUGUAAAUAUGAAAAAUCAUUUUAAUGACUGCAUAAAUGUUGUAUGGUUAACUACAAUAGGUAGUUCCGUUUACUUGACAAUAAAUGCAUUAUACAUGA
Cavia porcellus (domestic guinea pig) is the source of this 8801-nucleotide long non-coding RNA. RefSeq lists it as uncharacterized. The transcript is spliced from 2 exons. Lineage: Eukaryota; Metazoa; Chordata; Mammalia; Rodentia; Caviidae. The record is from RefSeq and is a predicted model, not a curated record.